CAGCUUUCCCACGCCGCCGCUUGAGCCCCCGGACGCCGCCACGCCGUCUAGCAUGAGUGGCUGGCUUGUUCCCGCCGACGGCCUGCCCGAGGAUCAGAUCGAUGGUUGUGGUGCCAGACCGAUGGGCGCCGGGGCGUGAGGAAGACAACACAGACAUCAGCGACGGUGACUACGCUCCACCGGUUUUUACGUCUACUCCACUGUUUUUUAUCCCGUCCUCAACAGUCUGUACGAUUUCUCCUCCCAGCAAUUCUUGCGCUCACUCCUCUGCCCACCUCGCUGAUGCCGCCAUCCCCAUGGCACAUGCCCGGUGGCCAACCUAAAGCGCCCCAAUGACCGGCGGCAGUCGUCCCUUACCGACGCUCUAAUCGCGGAGCAAGUGCACCCUCGGAAGGCUUGAGGAGCUCGCAGGCGCGCUGCGGCAAUCAUCUCGCGGUUGUGAACAUCGCGCCGCCCAACCGCGCCCCUCCUCCACGCUGGCAAUCUCGUCAGAAUUUGGCCGCGCCCGUCCUUGGCGUCGCCAGAUCUGGCCACUCCGGUUGUUGGUGUCGUUGGAUCUGACAGCCAUGGGCCACUCACUGCGGCGGCGGCCGGUCUGCAAGGUAAUCACGGAGACAGCGAAGCAGUCUAUCGAGUACUAGGGUUCGGCAUGAGGUUGGACCAAAAUCAAUGUGUUGAGCCCCAAGUCCUCGGAGCAAGCGUUCGUCAUUCAUUUCAUUGGGGGGAUUUUCGUUGGAGGGUCAGGAUCAAGAUAUGAUGUGCAGCGAAGUGGAAACGUGCUGAUGGCCUUUAAUAACAAGGUGAGCUUGGAUCUGUACCAAUAGUGGAGGGGGCGUCCAUUGAGACCAAGGCGGUUGGAGCAGCGGACUAUCGUCCUAGCGUUGUGAGUCCCUCACCGGGAAAGAAACUUUCUAAAUAUAUCGUCCUAGCAUCCGUGCAUACAACGGCCAUGUCGAUGUAAGGGUGCCCGUGACCAGCUUUAGAAUUUUGUUGUGUCCGGAUGGAGAAUCUAGGAUAGUCACCUCAUCAAGGAAAAGAAAUCAUGGGUUGUUUCAUGUAAUUCUGCUAUUCCACAUGUUCUAAUUAUUCCAAAAGAUCCACUGUGUUCUAAUAUCCAUCUAGACCUAGAUCCAGUAUGAAUCCGUUUCACAACAGAUUUGUGUUUUAUUUUGUCUUCCAGUACUUGCUGGAAAACUUUAGUGAGUUUGAUAAGAUUUUUUAGCAGGCAAAAUCAGUGACAUUAGGAAAAAUCUUCAUUACACAAUAGGUUUUCUCGCGGGUAAAUAUAAACGAAGAUAUUUCUUUUUUUCAUUCCUCAGUUUAAGCUGCUAAUUUGGACAAGCGAGAUGACUAGAUGAUAGAUGCAUGGAAAGUUGAAACAUUGAUGAUUUUUGUAGUGUGCACUAACUGAAGUUGGCCUGCUGCUCCCACGUACGCUGUAGUCUCCCUUGGGUGAUUUGGAUUCUGAGAUUUUCUUUGAUUACCAUUGGGCAUUGGUUUCUUGUUCUACAUAUUGGGGCUUUCUUAAUUCUGGUGUUUGGCCUAAGUGAUUGGGGAUUGACAUUGUGAAUGUCUGAGUCUGUGGGCAUCUGAAGCUGCACGCUCCAUUGGCUAAAACUUGCUGUUUGAUAUCUUCUCAAAUUCAAAGCAAUUGGCAUGUUAAAUUAUUUCUUAACCAGGUUUGGUUUCUAUUCACACAGUGUCCCUUAUAUGUUAUGACUUUUGUCGUACACCCUGGUUUCCUUAUAAUUGUAAUAGCAUCCACAGAAACAGAUUAACUCACAUGUCACUUUUUAUAUUGUAUCCUAAUACAUGUUUCUAAACUAAUCAAUUUAUAUGUUUCAUUUAUUGUAUUUUCCUGCCUAUCUACAACUUAUGAUGUCAGAACUCAUUUGUAAUGUACACAUUGGAUCGUAGUUGAUCUUUGUUCUCACAUGCCAGUUAUGUUUUUCGAUGUGGAUAUGCUUAAGUUGAUGUGGUGCAUGGCAUAUGCUCAAGGCUCUUGGUCAUCUAUGGAAAUACACACCGGGAAGAUCAAUUGCUCCAAAGUGGAGAUUAUGAGAGGCUGACUAUAGAACAAAGUAAUGUGCAGAGGAUGCAUUAAUUCUACCUUUUGUGCUCAGCCCCUUAAACAACCCAUCUCAUUGCUGGGCAAAGGGCAUAAAGUAAUCAACACGAAUCUCUCCGCUACACCUAUCGGCAUUUAAAGAUGUUGAACUGAUCCUUCGGCCCUACCGUAUACAUUAUCACAUUGUUCAAGAAGCAAUGUUACACAGGAAUUUGACAGGUUUAAUAUGGACUAUUUUGCUGUGUGACUACUAAAUGUAAACUCAAGUCAUACUUAUCUCUUAGAGAUCAUGAUGCACGACCCAUAUCUAGCAUGCUGUUGUUUCUGCCUGUACAAAUUGUAUAGUAGAAAUGAUUGUUUGGCUCAUUGUAUAGUUCGAGUUGACUAUGUUAUUCCCAGUUUCUCCAACAUUGUUACUUGGAGAUCUAGAAAUUAAAAUUCAUGAUCUUUCACA
Lolium rigidum is the source of this 2522-nucleotide long non-coding RNA. RefSeq lists it as uncharacterized. The record is from RefSeq and is a predicted model, not a curated record. The transcript has 5 exons. Lineage: Eukaryota; Viridiplantae; Streptophyta; Magnoliopsida; Poales; Poaceae.